AACGCGAAGAACCUUACCUGGUCUUGACAUCCACGGAAGUUUUCAGAGAUGAGAAUGUGCCUUCGGGAACCGUGAGACAGGUGCUGCAUGGCUGUCGUCAGCCCGUGUUGUGAAAUGUUGGGUUAAGUCCCGCAACGAGCGCAACCCUUAUCCUUUGUUGCCAGCGGUCCGGCCGGGAACUCAAAGGAGACUGCCAGUGAUAAACUGGAGGAAGUUGGGGAUGACGUCAAGUCAUCAUGGCCCUUACGACCAGGGCUACACACGUGCUACAAUGGCGCAUACAAAGAGAAGCGACCUCGCGAGAGCAAGCGGACCUCAUAAAGUGCGUCGUAGCCCGGAUUGGAGUCUGCAACUCGACUCCAUGAAGUCGGAAUCGCUAGUAAUCGUGGAUCAGAAUGCCACGGUGAAUACGUUCCCGGGCCUUGUACACACCG
Molecule: ribosomal RNA, 434 nt
Filed under: uncultured bacterium
Lineage: Bacteria
Description: bacterial SSU rRNA
Rfam family: Bacterial small subunit ribosomal RNA
Source: RNAcentral